RNAcentral lists this transfer-messenger RNA (354 nucleotides) under uncultured Faecousia sp. It matches the Rfam family "transfer-messenger RNA". Rfam says of the family: Bacterial tmRNA, also known as 10Sa RNA or SsrA, is named for its dual tRNA and mRNA-like properties. The record is from RNAcentral. Lineage: Bacteria; Bacillati; Bacillota; Clostridia; Eubacteriales; Oscillospiraceae.
GGGGGCGCAACGGUUUCGACGGGGGUAGUGAGGCAGGAAUAGCGGGUCGUGGCGCCUGACCACGAUAAAACGGGCAACUUUUUUAAAAAUUAACUGACAACAAUCAGUACGCUCUGGCUGCCUAAUUAGGCCGGCCCAUCCGCCCCGAAAGGUCCACGAGUCGGGCUCGGGUGUGAUUUUAGUGGAGAACGUGCGUGCGGUAAGCUUUGCCCGUACCAUGCAUCAAUGAAGCUACCAAAUCCGAAAGGGUGUUCGUUCCCGCUCGGAUGAGGGAAUGCAAAUAACGACCUGCACCCGGAGAAGUUCCUGUCAAGCUAUUUUCGGACGGGGGUUCAACUCCCCCCGCUUCCACCA